This 301-nucleotide ribosomal RNA is filed under the name uncultured bacterium. Its description in RNAcentral is "partial 16S ribosomal RNA". It matches the Rfam family "Bacterial small subunit ribosomal RNA", at positions 509 to 808 of the family's 1533-position model. The record is from RNAcentral.
CAGUAGCCGCGGUAAUACGUAGGUGGCAAGCGUUGUCCGGAAUUAUUGGGCGCAAGGGCUCGCAGGCGGUUUCUUAAGUCUGAUGUGAAAGCCCCCGGCUCAACCGGGGAGGGUCAUUGGAAACUGGGAAACUUGAGUGCAGAAGAGGAGAGUGGAAUUCCACGUAUAGCAGUGGAAUGCGUAGAGAUGUGGAGGAACACCAGUGGUGAAGGCGACUCUCUGGUCUGUAACUGACGCUGAGGAGCGAAAGCGUGGGGAGCGAACAGGAUUAGAUACCCCUGUAGUCCCUGUCUCUUAUACA